RNAcentral lists this ribosomal RNA (467 nucleotides) under uncultured bacterium. Its description in RNAcentral is "partial 16S ribosomal RNA". It matches the Rfam family "Bacterial small subunit ribosomal RNA", at positions 28 to 507 of the family's 1533-position model. The record is from RNAcentral.
GACGAACGCUGGCGGCGUGCUUAACACAUGCAAGUCGAACGGAAAGGCCCUGCUUUUGUGGGGUGCUCGAGUGGCGAACGGGUGAGUAACACGUGAGUAACCUGCCCUUGACUUUGGGAUAACUUCAGGAAACUGGGGCUAAUACCGGAUAGGAGCUCCUGCUGCAUGGUGGGGGUUGGAAAGUUUCGGCGGUUGGGGAUGGACUCGCGGCUAUCAGCUUGUUGGUGGGGUAGUGGCUUACCAAGGCUUUGACGGGUAGCCGGCCUGAGAGGGUGACCGGCCACAUUGGGACUGAAAUACGGCCCAGACUCCUACGGGAGGCAGCAGUGGGGAAUAUUGCACAAUGGGCGGAAGCCUGAUGCAGCAACGCCGCGUGCGGGAUGACGGCCUUCGGGUUGUAAACCGCUUUCGCCUGUGACGAAGCGUGAGUGACGGUAAUGGGUAAAGAAGCACCGGCUAACUACGUG